AUUCCGGUUGAUCCUGCCGGAGGCCAUUGCUAUCGGAGUCCGAUUUAGCCAUGCUAGUCGCGCGGGUUUAGACCCGCGGCAGAUAGCUCAGUAACACGUGGCCAAACUACCCUAUGGACGGAGAUAACCUCGGGAAACUGAGGCUAAUAUCCGAUACAGCUCGCACGCUGGAGUGCAGCGAGCUGGAAACGUUCCGGCGCCAUAGGAUGUGGCUGCGGCCGAUUAGGUAGACGGUGGGGUAAUGGCCCACCGUGCCGAUAAUCGGUACAGGUUGUGAGAGCAAGAGCCUGGAGACGGAAUCUGAGACAAGAUUCCGGGCCCUACGGGGCGCAGCAGGCGCGAAACCUUUACACUGCACGACAGUGCGAUAGGGGGACUCCGAGUGCGAGGGCAUACAGUCCUCGCUUUUCUGCACCGUAAGGUGGUACAGGAACAAGUGCUGGGCAAGACCGGUGCCAGCCGCCGCGGUAAUACCGGCAGCACGAGUGAUGGCCGAUUUUAUUGGGCCUAAAGCGUCCGUAGCCGGCCGAGCAAGUCUGUUGGGAAAUCCACGCGCUCAACGCGUGGGCGUCCAGCGGAAACUGUUCGGCUUGGGGCCAGAGGACUCGAGGGGUACGUCCGGGGUAGGAGUGAAAUCCCGUAAUCCUGGACGGACCACCGGUGGCGAAAGCGCCUCGAGAAGAUGGACCCGACGGUGAGGGACGAAAGCUUGGGUCUCGAACCGGAUUAGAUACCCGGGUAGUCCAAGCUGUAAACGAUGCUCGCUAGGUGUGCCGCAGGCUACGAGCCUGCGCUGUGCCGUAGGGAAGCCGAGAAGCGAGCCGCCUGGGAAGUACGUCUGCAAGGAUGAAACUUAAAGGAAUUGGCGGGGGAGCACUACAACCGGAGGAGCCUGCGGUUUAAUUGGACUCAACGCCGGACAUCUCACCAGCACCGACAACGGUAAUGAUGGCCAGGUUGAUGACCUUACCCGACGCCGUUGAGAGGAGGUGCAUGGCCGCCGUCAGCUCGUACCGUGAGGCAUCCUGUUAAGUCAGGCAACGAGCGAGACCCGCAUCCUUAAUUGCCAGCAGCAUCCUUGUGAUGGCUGGGUACAUUAGGGAGACCGCCACGGCUAACGUGGAGGAAGGAACGGGCAACGGUAGGUCAGCAUGCCCCGAAUGUGCUGGGCAACACGCGGGCUACAAUGGCCGGGACAGUGGGAAGCUAAUCCGAGAGGAUACGCUAAUCCCCUAAACCCGGUCGUAGUUCGGAUUGAGGGCUGAAACUCGCCCUCAUGAAGCUGGAUUCGGUAGUAAUCGCGUGUCAGAAGCGCGCGGUGAAUACGUCCCUGCUCCUUGCACACACCGCCCGUCAAAUCACCCGAGUGGGGUCCGGAUGAGGCCAUCAUGCGAUGGUCGAAUCUGGGCUCCGCAAGGGGGAUUAAGUCGUAACAAGGUAGCCGUAGGGGAAUCUGCGGCUGGAUCACCUCCU
This 1473-nucleotide ribosomal RNA is filed under the name Halosimplex carlsbadense. Its description in RNAcentral is "Archaeal small subunit ribosomal RNA". It matches the Rfam family "Archaeal small subunit ribosomal RNA". Lineage: Archaea; Methanobacteriati; Methanobacteriota; Halobacteria; Halobacteriales; Haloarculaceae. The record is from Rfam by way of RNAcentral. RNAcentral also lists the same sequence under 2 other names.